CAGUCGCCGCGGGAAUACGUAGGUGGCAAGCGUUGUCCGGAAUUAUUGGGCGUAAAGGGCUCGCAGGCGGUUUCUUAAGUCUGAUGUGAAAGCCCCCGGCUCAACCGAGGAGGGUCAUUGGAAACUGGGAAACUUGAGUGCAGAAGAGGAGAGUGGAAUUCCACGUGUAGCGGUGAAAUGCGUAGAGAUGUGGAGGAACACCAGUGGCGAAGGCGACUCUCUGGUCUGUAACUGACGCUGAGGAGCGAAAGCGUGGGGAGCGAACAGGAUUAGAUACCCCUGUAGUCCCUGUCUCUUAUAC
This 301-nucleotide ribosomal RNA is filed under the name uncultured bacterium. Its description in RNAcentral is "partial 16S ribosomal RNA". It matches the Rfam family "Bacterial small subunit ribosomal RNA", at positions 509 to 807 of the family's 1533-position model. The record is from RNAcentral.